UACUCGAGUGGCGAACGGGUGAGUAACACGUGGGUGAUCUGCCCUGCACUUCGGGAUAAGCUUGGGAAACUGGGUCUAAUACCGGAUAGGAACCAUCUUUAGUGUGGUGGUUGGAAAGUUUUUUAGGUGUAGGAUGAGCUCGCGGCCUAUCAGCUUGUUGGUGGGGUAAUGGCCUACCAAGGCGGCGACGGGUAGCCGGCCUGAGAGGGUGUACGGCCACAUUGGGACUGAGAUACGGCCCAG
RNAcentral lists this ribosomal RNA (243 nucleotides) under uncultured Actinomycetales bacterium. RNAcentral describes it as "partial 16S ribosomal RNA". It matches the Rfam family "Bacterial small subunit ribosomal RNA", at positions 88 to 334 of the family's 1533-position model. The record is from RNAcentral. Lineage: Bacteria; Bacillati; Actinomycetota; Actinomycetes; Actinomycetales.